GGGCCCAUAGCUCAAUUGGUAGAGCNNAGAGCCACCGGCUCAUAACCGGUAGGUCCCUGGUUCGAACCCAGGUGGGCCCACUA
This 83-nucleotide transfer RNA is filed under the name Syntrophus sp. (in: bacteria). RNAcentral's name for it is "tRNA-Met". It matches the Rfam family "tRNA". Rfam says of the family: Transfer RNA (tRNA) molecules are approximately 80 nucleotides in length. Their secondary structure includes four short double-helical elements and three loops (D, anti-codon, and T loops). Further hydrogen bonds mediate the characteristic L-shaped molecular structure. tRNAs have two regions of fundamental functional importance: the anti-codon, which is responsible for specific mRNA codon recognition, and the 3' end, to which the tRNAs corresponding amino acid is attached (by aminoacyl-tRNA synthetases). tRNAs cope with the degeneracy of the genetic code in two manners: having more than one tRNA (with a specific anti-codon) for a particular amino acid; and 'wobble' base-pairing, i.e. permitting non-standard base-pairing at the 3rd anti-codon position. Lineage: Bacteria; Pseudomonadati; Thermodesulfobacteriota; Syntrophia; Syntrophales; Syntrophaceae. The record is from RNAcentral.